Molecule: small nucleolar RNA, 85 nt
Filed under: Triticum aestivum (bread wheat)
Lineage: Eukaryota; Viridiplantae; Streptophyta; Magnoliopsida; Poales; Poaceae
Also listed under: 1 other name
Source: RNAcentral
UGGCAGUGAUUUGAAUCUUACCCGCUCUUCUGAUUAGUUCAUGAAGGACAAGGGAAAACAUGGUUGAAUUUCUUAAUAUGAGCCA